RNAcentral lists this long non-coding RNA (800 nucleotides) under Elaeis guineensis (African oil palm). RNAcentral describes it as "long non-coding RNA (EGUI_LNC017018)". The record is from RNAcentral. Lineage: Eukaryota; Viridiplantae; Streptophyta; Magnoliopsida; Arecales; Arecaceae.
GAUUUACUUUUCAUUUAGUUAGAUUCAUUUGAUCUUCUAAUAUCUAAUUAACCUAAUUUAAAAUUUUACUUUUUAUUUUUUCUUGCUAAAAGAUAACAUAAUAUAAAAGGAAUACAAUGAUAAUACAUAACACUUGACUAAUAUAAAUAAAUCAAUUAAAUUUUAAAAUUCACUUAACAUGUUUGGAUAUCUUUUCCUUUUGCAGUGCAUAUUUUCAUAAAAAAAAAAUCUUAAGGGCAAAACCCUAAUCAACAUAAGGUGGAGAUUUCAUCACCCUUAUUUGGCCCACAAAUCACCACCUUGCAAUUAUAUUGACCUAAACUUCUAAUUUAAAAUCGAUUAGACGUUGACCCUUAAGGAUCCUCGAGCUCAGUAGGACAAGGAAUCCUAAAAGUUAGACCGAGUUCAGGUUAGUCAGUUUAACUGAUGUCUAAGAAAGUGGUUCAAAGAUUACAUUCUGAAAGAAGGUAGUUCAUUAAUUGGUUCCAUUCGCUAACCUGGCCAACACAGUUGGUGUCUAAGGAAAGCAACAUGGGAACCCCCACCAACCUUAUACUUAUCUGGCCAGUUGAGCGGCUAGUCUGCUACUUGGAGUGCUUGAAGGUGACCUUGGCAGUUAGGAGCUGUCUAGAUCUAGGAUAACCCAUAGAUAGGAUUGAUUGAAUCACUUGAUUGUUGACUAAAAAUAUCAAAUCUAAUUAAUUCUUCUCUAUCUUUUUAGCAUUAGAACUCCUUAGGUUUUCUUCUUUAGAAUUCUUUUUCCUCCUCCUACUCUCCUCUUCUCUUUCAAAAAAAAAAAA